GCCAGGUGCAGUGGUGCACACCUGUAAUCCCAGCAGCUCAGGAGGCUGAGGCAGGAGGAUCACAAGUUCAAAUCCAGCCUCAG
This 83-nucleotide small RNA is filed under the name Marmota monax (woodchuck). The record is from RNAcentral. Lineage: Eukaryota; Metazoa; Chordata; Mammalia; Rodentia; Sciuridae.